This 69-nucleotide transfer RNA is filed under the name Bos taurus (domestic cattle). It matches the Rfam family "tRNA". Rfam says of the family: Transfer RNA (tRNA) molecules are approximately 80 nucleotides in length. Their secondary structure includes four short double-helical elements and three loops (D, anti-codon, and T loops). The record is from Rfam by way of RNAcentral. Lineage: Eukaryota; Metazoa; Chordata; Mammalia; Artiodactyla; Bovidae. RNAcentral also lists the same sequence under 3 other names.
CCUGGUGGCUCAGAUGGUAAAGCAUCUGCCUGCAAUGCGGGAGACCCGGGUUCGAUUCCUGGGUCAGGA